Molecule: ribosomal RNA, 683 nt
Filed under: uncultured Cupriavidus sp.
Lineage: Bacteria; Pseudomonadati; Pseudomonadota; Betaproteobacteria; Burkholderiales; Burkholderiaceae
Description: bacterial SSU rRNA
Rfam family: Bacterial small subunit ribosomal RNA
Source: RNAcentral
GAGUUUGAUCCUGGCUCAGAUUGAACGCUGGCGGCAUGCCUUACACAUGCAAGUCGAACGGCAGCACGGGAGCAAUCCUGGUGGCGAGUGGCGAACGGGUGAGUAAUACAUCGGAACGUGCCCUGUCGUGGGGGAUAACUAGUCGAAAGAUUAGCUAAUACCGCAUACGACCUGAGGGUGAAAGCGGGGGACCGUAAGGCCUCGCGCGAUAGGAGCGGCCGAUGUCUGAUUAGCUAGUUGGUGGGGUAAAGGCCCACCAAGGCGACGAUCAGUAGCUGGUCUGAGAGGACGAUCAGCCACACUGGGACUGAGACACGGCCCAGACUCCUACGGGAGGCAGCAGUGGGGAAUUUUGGACAAUGGGGGCAACCCUGAUCCAGCAAUGCCGCGUGUGUGAAGAAGGCCUUCGGGUUGUAAAGCACUUUUGUCCGGAAAGAAAUCCCUUGCCCUAAUACGGCGGGGGGAUGACGGUACCGGAAGAAUAAGCACCGGCUAACUACGUGCCAGCAGCCGCGGUAAUACGUAGGGUGCGAGCGUUAAUCGGAAUUACUGGGCGUAAAGCGUGCGCAGGCGGUUUUGUAAGACAGGCGUGAAAUCCCCGAGCUCAACUUGGGAAUGGCGCUUGUGACUGCAAGGCUAGAGUAUGUCAGAGGGGGGUAGAAUUCCACGUGUAGCAGUGAAAU